CCCUUAGAUGUCCUGGGCCGCACGCGUGCUACACUGACACUUACACCGAGUUUUUCCGGCCCCGAGAGGUGGCUGGUAAUCAGUAAUAGGUGUCGUGAUGGGGAUAGAUCUUUGGAAUUAUUGAUCUUGAACGAGGAAUGCCUAGUAAUCGUAGGUCAUCAGCCUGCGAUGAUUACGCCCCUGCCCUUUGUACACACCGCCCGUCGCUCCUACCGAUUUCGAGUGGUCCGGUGAACCUUUCGGACAGAGAGAGUCUCGUACAAUCUCUGAAAGUCAAGUAAACCACAUCACUUAGAGGAAGGAGAAGUCGUAACA
This 315-nucleotide ribosomal RNA is filed under the name uncultured eukaryote. RNAcentral's name for it is "partial 18S ribosomal RNA". It matches the Rfam family "Eukaryotic small subunit ribosomal RNA", at positions 1470 to 1796 of the family's 1831-position model. The record is from RNAcentral.